Molecule: ribosomal RNA, 433 nt
Filed under: uncultured bacterium
Lineage: Bacteria
Description: partial 16S ribosomal RNA
Rfam family: Bacterial small subunit ribosomal RNA
Source: RNAcentral
AACGAACGCUGGCGGCAUGCCUAACACAUGCCAGUCGAACGGAACCGUCGGGUCUAGUGGCGCAGGUCUGCGUACCACCUGGGAACCUGCCCGUAAGUUCGGAAUAACUCCCCGAAAGGGGACCUCAUACCGCUGGAUCUCAUCGGACCAAAGAUUUAUCGCCUUGGGGUGGGGCCGGGUUGGCUUAGCGAGUUGGUAGGGGAUACGCAUACCAUGGGCAUGUUGCAGAGCUGGUCUGUGAGCAGGACAAGCAACGCUGGGACUGAGACACGGCCCAGACUCCGACGGAGGGGAGCAGUAGGGUAUAUUGGACGAGGGGCGAAAGUCUGAUACAGCAAUGCCGGGUGAGUGAUGAAGGCCUUAGGGUUGUAAAGCUCUUUGACCCGGGAUGAUAAUGACAGUACCGGGAGAAUAAGCACCGGCUAACUACGUG